This 592-nucleotide ribosomal RNA is filed under the name uncultured bacterium. RNAcentral describes it as "bacterial SSU rRNA". It matches the Rfam family "Bacterial small subunit ribosomal RNA", at positions 334 to 917 of the family's 1533-position model. The record is from RNAcentral.
UACUCCUACGGGAGGCAGCAGUGGGGAAUCUUCCGCAAUGGACGAAAGUCUGACGGAGCAACGCCGCGUGAGUGAUGACGGCCUUCGGGUUGUAAAGCUCUGUUAAUCGGGACGAAAGGCCUUCUUGCGAAUAGUGAGAAGGAUUGACGGUACCGGAAUAGAAAGCCACGGCUAACUACGUGCCAGCAGCCGCGGUAAUACGUAGGUGGCAAGCGUUGUCCGGAAUUAUUGGGCGUAAAGCGCGCGCAGGCGGAUCAGUCAGUCUGUCUUAAAAGUUCGGGGCUUAACCCCGUGAGGGGAUGGAAACUGCUGAUCUAGAGUAUCGGAGAGGAAAGUGGAAUUCCUAGUGUAGCGGUGAAAUGCGUAGAUAUUAGGAAGAACACCAGUGGCGAAGGCGACUUUCUGGACGAAAACUGACGCUGAGGCGCGAAAGCCAGGGGAGCGAACGGGAUUAGAUACCCCGGUAGUCCUGGCCGUAAACGAUGGGUACUAGGUGUAGGAGGUAUCGACCCCUUCUGUGCCGGAGUUAACGCAAUAAGUACCCCGCCUGGGGAGUACGACCGCAAGGUUGAAACUCAAAGGAAUUGACGGA